Molecule: ribosomal RNA, 497 nt
Filed under: uncultured bacterium
Lineage: Bacteria
Description: partial 16S ribosomal RNA
Rfam family: Bacterial small subunit ribosomal RNA
Source: RNAcentral
GAUGAACGCUGGCGGCGUGCCUAAUACAUGCAAGUCGAGCGAACGGACGAGAAGCUUGCUUUUCUGAUGUUAGCGGAGGACGGGUGAGUAACACGUGGAUAACCUACCUAUAAGACUGGGAUAACUUCGGGAAACCGGAGAUAAUACCGGAUAAUAUUUUGAACCGCAGGGUUCAAAAGUGAAAGACGGUCUUGCGGUCACGUAUAGAUGGAUCCGCGCUGCAUUAGCUAGUUGGUAAGGUAAAGGCUUACCAAGGCAACGAUGCAUAGCCGACCUGAGAGGGUGGUCUGCCACACUGGAACUGAGACACGGUCCAGACUCCUACGGGAGGCAGCAGUAGGGAAUCUUCCGCCAUGGGCGGAAGCCUUACGGAGCAACGCCGCGUGAGUGAUGAAGGUCUUCGGAUCGUAAAACUCUGUUAUUAGGGAAGAACAUAUUUGUAAGUAACUGUGCACAUCUUGACGGUACCUAAUCAGAAAGCCACGGCUAACUACGUG